AAUCAACGCUGGCGGCGUGCCUAACACAUGCAAGUCGAACGAGAAAGUGGAGCAAUCCAUGAGUAAAGUGGCGACCGGGUGAGUAACACGUGACUAACCUACCUUCAAGUGGGGGAUAACCUCGGGAAACCGGGGCUAAUACCGCAUAAAAUCUUUGGGAUGAGAAGCCGAAGAUCAAAGGAGCAAUUCGCUGGAAGAGGGGGUCGCGGCUGAUUAGCUAGUUGGUGGGGUAAUGGCCCACCAAGGCUUUGAUCGGUAGCCGGCCUGAGAGGGCGCACGGCCACACUGGAACUGAAACACGGUCCAGACUCCUACGGGAGGCAGCAGUGGGGAAUUUUGCGCAAUGGGGGAAACCCUGACGCAGCAACGCCGCGUGGAGGAUGAAGUCCCUUGGGACGUAAACUCCUUUCGACCGGGACGAUAAUGACGGUACCGGUGGAAGAAGCCCCGGCUAACUUCGUGCCAGCCGCCGCCGUAAU
This 479-nucleotide ribosomal RNA is filed under the name uncultured bacterium. RNAcentral's name for it is "bacterial SSU rRNA". It matches the Rfam family "Bacterial small subunit ribosomal RNA", at positions 32 to 524 of the family's 1533-position model. The record is from RNAcentral.